RNAcentral lists this ribosomal RNA (214 nucleotides) under uncultured Staphylococcus sp. Its description in RNAcentral is "partial 16S ribosomal RNA". It matches the Rfam family "Bacterial small subunit ribosomal RNA", at positions 127 to 334 of the family's 1533-position model. Lineage: Bacteria; Bacillati; Bacillota; Bacilli; Caryophanales; Staphylococcaceae. The record is from RNAcentral.
UACCUAUAAGACUGUGGAUAACUUCGGGAAACCGGAGCUAAUACCGGAUAAUAUUUUGAACCGCAUGGUUCAAAAGUGAAAGACGGUCUUGCUGUCACUUAUAGAUGGAUCCGCGCUGCAUUAGCUAGUUGGUAAGGUAACGGCUUACCAAGGCAACGAUGCAUAGCCGACCUGAGAGGGUGAUCGGCCACACUGGAACUGAGACACGGUCCAG